RNAcentral lists this ribosomal RNA (371 nucleotides) under uncultured organism. RNAcentral describes it as "bacterial SSU rRNA". It matches the Rfam family "Bacterial small subunit ribosomal RNA", at positions 526 to 896 of the family's 1533-position model. The record is from RNAcentral.
CGGAGGGGGCUAGCGUUGUUCGGAAUUACGUGGGCGUAAAGCGCGCGUAGGCGGACCUGCAAGUCGGGGGUGAAAGCCCGAGGCUCAACCUCGGAACUGCCUUCGAUACUGCGGGUCUCGAGUCCGGGAGAGGUGAGUGGAAUUCCUAGUGUAGAGGUGAAAUUCGUAGAUAUUAGGAAGAACACCAGUGGCGAAGGCGGCUCACUGGCCCGGUACUGACGCUGAGGCGCGAAAGCGUGGGGAGCAAACAGGAUUAGAUACCCUGGUAGUCCACGCCGUAAACUAUGGGUGCUAGCCGUCGGUCGGCAUGCCGGUCGGUGGCGCAGCCAACGCAUUAAGCACCCCGCCUGGGGAGUACGGUCGCAAGAUUA